Molecule: ribosomal RNA, 253 nt
Filed under: uncultured bacterium
Lineage: Bacteria
Description: partial 16S ribosomal RNA
Rfam family: Bacterial small subunit ribosomal RNA
Source: RNAcentral
UACAGAGGUCCCGAGCGUUGUUCGGAUUCAUUGGGCGUAAAGGGUGCGUAGGCGGUCUUCUAAGUUUGAUGUGAAAUCCCGGGGCUCAACCCUGGAAUUGCAUUGAAUACUGGAGGACUAGAGUACCGGAGAGGAAACUGGAAUUUACGGUGUAGCAGUGAAAUGCGUAGAGAUCGUAAGGAAGACCAGUGGCGAAGGCGAGUUUCUGGACGGUAACUGACGCUGAGGCGCGAAAGCGUGGGGAGCAAACAGG